GACGUAGGGCGCGAGCGUUGUCCGGAUUUAUUGGGCGUAAAGAGCUCGUAGGCGGCUUGUCGCGUCGACUGUGAAAACCCGUGGCUCAACCAUGUGGUCUGCAGUCGAUACGGGCAGGCUAGAAUUCGGUAGGGGAGACUGGAAUUCCUGGUGUAGCGGUGAAAUGCGCAGAUAUCUGGAGGAGCACCGGUGGCGAAGGCGGCAUCCUGGACCGGUAUUGACACUGAAAAGCGAAAGCCAGGGGAGCAAACGGG
RNAcentral lists this ribosomal RNA (254 nucleotides) under uncultured bacterium. RNAcentral describes it as "partial 16S ribosomal RNA". It matches the Rfam family "Bacterial small subunit ribosomal RNA", at positions 524 to 776 of the family's 1533-position model. The record is from RNAcentral.